GAUGAACGCUGGCGGCGUGCUUAACACAUGCAAGUCGAACGGAAAGGCCCAAGCUUGCUUGGGUACUCGAGUGGCGAACGGGUGAGUAACACGUGGGUGAUCUGCCCUGCACUUCGGGAUAAGCCUGGGAAACUGGGCCUAAUACCGGAUAGGACGAUGGUUUGGAUGCCAUUGUGGAAAGUUUUUUCGGUGUGGGAUGAGCUCGCGGCGUAUCAGCUUGUUGGUGGGGUAAUGGCGUACCAGGGCGUCGACGGGUAGCCGGCCUGAGGGGGUGGAGGGCCGGAUUGGGAUUGUGAGGGGGGCCGGAGUGGGACGGGAGGCAGCAGGGGGGAAGAUUGGACAAUGGGCGACAGCGUGAGGGAGCGAGGCCGCGGGGGGGUUGAGGGCUUUCGGGGGGUAAGCACCGCUCGCUGGGGACGAAGCGUUGUUGUGACGGUACCUGGAGAAGAAGCACCGGCUAACUACGUG
This 468-nucleotide ribosomal RNA is filed under the name uncultured bacterium. RNAcentral describes it as "partial 16S ribosomal RNA". It matches the Rfam family "Bacterial small subunit ribosomal RNA", at positions 28 to 507 of the family's 1533-position model. The record is from RNAcentral.